AGCCAACUUAGAAGGGACUGUUUAAAUUGCUCAGAUACUAGAAAGCUGGGUAGAACACAAUUGUGUUGAAUUUGCAUUUUCGAUCUGUACAUUAGCCAUAUUUGCCAGCUCCUUAUCUGUUAUGAAGGCGGAGUGGAUGUGCUUUUCUUUGAGCAUGUGUUUCACUUGCCUUUUAUUGAGUCAAAGUUCUCUGGCAAACAGGAAUCCAUUCAAAUGUUACUGCCUGAUCCAGUAACAGUAACAGUAACAGUAACUCAACAGUAACAAGUUGAGUCUUGUCUAAUCACAUAAUAAUUCACCAAAUCCUCACAACAAUCACAGGAGACAGUCAACAGUAGCAUUUCGCAUCUAGGGACACUGAGGCUUGGAGAAGCUCAGGAACUUGUCCAAACUGCACACACGUCGUAAAAGUAACAGAGCAAGGAUGUGAAUCUGAUUAGCUCCACAUGCCUCUACCAUUAGCUCCUGGUGCCACUUUAGCAAACCAACUAGUAUAGUACAAAGUUCUACUGAAACUACACAUGAUAGUCUAACGUUUGCAACUUAAAUCCAAAAUAACACUUUUCUCCCCUUAUAUUCUGAGGCUGUAGUCAUCUAAUUCAUUUCUACAGAUCAGUAUAUUUCUAUCAUAAAUAUACUGAUGCCAACGUAGCAUCUAGGCAUGAAAAUGGAAUAUAUUGAUAUUACCUCGAACCACCCAAAUUGGGCCAGUGGAUUAAAGAGUACUAUGGCUACUUCCUGUCCUCCUGACCCUAUAUAAAGUAUAAGAAAAUAUCCAUGAUGACAUAUAUCCAACUCAUAGAUGUCUUACCUUUCCUUGAAAGCUCUCCGGCGCCUCAAGCUUAAACACAUAGAAGCCACAUGAUGCUGAAGACAAAUCAUAAGAAGACGGCUGGAGUGUGAGAGGGCUAUGUGUAUGGGAGCUGGGCACUGGGAACAAGGAGGCUGGGCCACAGUGGGCGUCUGGGAUGGGAGCUGGGCACUGGGAACAAGGAGGCUGGGCCACAGUGGGCGUCUGGGAUGGGAGCUCAUCACAGCACCUAGAGACAAGCAGAUGGCAACUGUGUGUCAGAACUGAAGUCUGCUGAGCCUGUUAGAGGAACUGCAGCCUGUUACAUGAGCCUGUUACUCCAAACAUACUUUGGAGUCAGAAGGUGGGCUGUGUGGGCCAGCCAUGGGGCACUCUUGCGAGAGGGCAGUCUUCUUAGUUAAUCCAAAUCUCAUCUCCAGCUAUGCUCCAGAGAGCCUGUGUGCUACCCUGAGUUAGAAUCCCGAGUUCCCAGUAAUGAAAACAGGAUGAAACGAUUGACGGACUUGGCUUUUCAGAAGCAUGCAGACUUCCCUGUAUCUGCCUGCUCGCUGCUCUCUUCCAGCGAGUCAGGAAAGCUAGAGGAUCAGUGUUCAAAGCAAUGUCUCCUGUGCC
Molecule: long non-coding RNA, 1423 nt
Filed under: Bos grunniens (domestic yak)
Lineage: Eukaryota; Metazoa; Chordata; Mammalia; Artiodactyla; Bovidae
Description: lncRNA (ENSBGRG00000015495.1)
Source: RNAcentral